Molecule: transfer RNA, 97 nt
Filed under: Coriobacteriales bacterium
Lineage: Bacteria; Bacillati; Actinomycetota; Coriobacteriia; Coriobacteriales
Description: tRNA-Sec
Rfam family: Selenocysteine transfer RNA
Source: RNAcentral
GGAGAUGGAUGGUCCCUGGUGGGGCCCGCGGCCUUCAAAGCCGUUGCGGGGCGUGAAGAGCGUCCUGGGUGCGUUCGAUUCGCACGCAUCUCCGCCA